RNAcentral lists this transfer RNA (77 nucleotides) under Brevibacterium yomogidense. RNAcentral describes it as "tRNA-Ile". It matches the Rfam family "tRNA". Rfam says of the family: Transfer RNA (tRNA) molecules are approximately 80 nucleotides in length. Their secondary structure includes four short double-helical elements and three loops (D, anti-codon, and T loops). The record is from RNAcentral. RNAcentral also lists the same sequence under 1 other name. Lineage: Bacteria; Bacillati; Actinomycetota; Actinomycetes; Micrococcales; Brevibacteriaceae.
GCCCCUGUAGCUCAGCUGGUUAGAGCAGAGGACUCAUAAUCCUUUUGUCGCGGGUUCAAGUCCCGCCGGGGGCACCA